Molecule: transfer RNA, 106 nt
Filed under: Aplosporella prunicola CBS 121167
Lineage: Eukaryota; Fungi; Ascomycota; Dothideomycetes; Botryosphaeriales; Aplosporellaceae
Description: tRNA-Phe
Rfam family: tRNA
About the family: Transfer RNA (tRNA) molecules are approximately 80 nucleotides in length.
Source: RNAcentral
GCAGCUUUAGCUCACUUGGGAGAGCGCCAGACUGAAGUCCACUUCAGCCUCUACAAGCAUUCUGUGCGGUAUCUGGAGGUACUGUGUUCGAUCCACAGAAGCUGCA